GGAGGAGCACGAAGGUUGGCUAAUCCUGGUCGGACAUCAGGAGGUUAGUGCAAUGGCAUAAGCCAGCUUGACUGCGAGCGUGACGGCGCGAGCAGGUGCGAAAGCAGGUCAUAGUGAUCCGGUGGUUCUGAAUGGAAGGGCCAUCGCUCAACGGAUAAAAGGUACUCCGGGGAUAACAGGCUGAUACCGCCCAAGAGUUCAUAUCGACGGCGGUGUUUGGCACCUCGAUGUCGGCUCAUCACAUCCUGGGGCUGAAGUAGGUCCCAAGGGUAUGGCUGUUCGCCAUUUAAAGUGGUACGCGAGCUGGGUUUAGAACGUCGUGAGACAGUUCGGUCCCUAUCUGCCGUGGGCGCUGGAGAACUGAGGGGGGCUGCUCCUAGUACGAGAGGACCGGAGUGGACGCAUCACUGGUGUUCGGGUUGUCAUGCCAAUGGCACUGCCCGGUAGCUAAAUGCGGAAGAGAUAAGUGCUGAAAGCAUCUAAGCACGAAACUUGCCCCGA
RNAcentral lists this ribosomal RNA (501 nucleotides) under Salmonella enterica. Its description in RNAcentral is "partial 23S ribosomal RNA". It matches the Rfam family "Bacterial large subunit ribosomal RNA", at positions 2302 to 2802 of the family's 2925-position model. Lineage: Bacteria; Pseudomonadati; Pseudomonadota; Gammaproteobacteria; Enterobacterales; Enterobacteriaceae. The record is from RNAcentral. RNAcentral also lists the same sequence under 2 other names.